Molecule: ribosomal RNA, 352 nt
Filed under: Dallia pectoralis (Alaska blackfish)
Lineage: Eukaryota; Metazoa; Chordata; Actinopteri; Esociformes; Umbridae
Description: partial 12S ribosomal RNA
Rfam family: Bacterial small subunit ribosomal RNA
Source: RNAcentral
AAAUUUUGAGGAGACUAUACAAUUUCCCCCGCCCGGGAACUACAAGCACUAGCUUAAAACCCAAAGGACUUGGCGGUGCCUCAGACCCACCUAGAGGAGCCUGUUCUAUAACCGAUAACCCCCGCUUAACCUCACCGCCCCUUGUUCCUCCCGCCUAUAUACCACCGUCGCCAGCUUAUCCCAUGAGGGAUUUAUAAUAAGCAAAAGGGGCAAAACCCAAAACGUCAGGUCGAGGUGUAGCGCAUGGGGCGGGAAGAAAUGGGCUACAUUUUCUAAACUAGAAUAUACGAACCCUGUUGUGAAACCAACAGCCAAAGGUGGAUUUAGCAGUAAACAGAAAAUAGAGUGUUCU